CCGUGGCAACAAGGUGUUUUAUUUUAACGGAUCAGCAUCUGAAAGGAUGCAGAGCAACAAGGAGGAAGUUCAGUUUUUCCCCCAACAUUUAAAGAGGAGCUGCUAAAGCAAAGGAGGUGGAUUAGCAGGGUUAGCUACCAGCUGAUGAUGUCAUCACGGACAUCGUUAAGCCAACAGUAAACAAUAUUUAGCUGUUAGCAUGUCAUCAGAGGCCUCUUCGGAAUCGCUGCAAGACUGACUGCUACAGGAAAUCUUUGAAGAUACGUGGAGUGUGAAGCAGAACUCAGAGAUCCAACAGAGUCUCUGCUCUGGUUGCGACUCAGAAACCUUCAGCAGAGCUUCUCUUCUCUUCUCGCAACAAAAUGGGUGAAAAUCAAACAUCCACAGUGGAGGAAAACACCCGUUACCGCGGCAACCACCAGAACAUCAGCUCAUUAGCUCCAAAUGAACAGGAACAGGAAGUGGUUCAGUAACUGAACAGGAAGUGGUUCAGUAACUGAAC
Long non-coding RNA from Gambusia affinis (western mosquitofish), 502 nucleotides. RefSeq lists it as uncharacterized. The transcript has 3 exons. Lineage: Eukaryota; Metazoa; Chordata; Actinopteri; Cyprinodontiformes; Poeciliidae. The record is from RefSeq and is a predicted model, not a curated record.